UGGGGAAUAUUGCACAAUGGAGGGAACUCUGAUGCAGCGACGCCGCGUGAGUGAUGAAGGAAUUCGUUUCGUAAAACUCUGUUCUAUGGGAAGAAAAGGACUGUACCAUAGGAGAAAGCUCCGGCUAAAUACGUGCCAGCAGCCGCGGUAAUACGUAUGGAGCGAGCGUUGUCCGGAAUUAUUGGGCGUAAAGGGUGCGCAGGCGGCUUUACAAGUUGGAUGUGAAAUAUUGUGGCUCAACCACAAACGUGCAUCCAAAACUGCAAAGCUUGAGUUAAGGAGAGGUAAGUGGAAUUCCUGGUGUAGCGGUGGAAUGCGUAGAUAUCAGGAGGAAUACCGGUGGCGAAGGCGACUUACUGGACUUAAACUGACGCUCAGGCACGAAAGCGUGGGGAGCGAACAGG
RNAcentral lists this ribosomal RNA (404 nucleotides) under Fusobacteriota bacterium. RNAcentral describes it as "Fusobacteria bacterium partial 16S ribosomal RNA". It matches the Rfam family "Bacterial small subunit ribosomal RNA", at positions 355 to 776 of the family's 1533-position model. The record is from RNAcentral. Lineage: Bacteria; Fusobacteriati; Fusobacteriota.